AGUGACAGUGCCAGCAGAAUUUCCUGGGACAAGUUUGAGCUGCAUGUCAAUUUUACCAAACAGAUAUUCAUUCUUGGAUUGAAAACCAGAGCCUGAGAUUUUGUCAAGUGAGAGAGUAAGGAGGUCGCCAUUGUUAAGUAUUUUUGCUCUGCCAUCACCCCAUGUAAUGUCGAAUUCUUGAUCAAACUUGGCCCCAAUUGCAAUGCCAAAAGCACUAAUCAUAAAACACAUUACAAGUACUAAUUUAGAAGAAGAAGAAGCCAUGUUUAACUGUUAAGAUUUCAAAGUUUG
This 291-nucleotide unclassified non-coding RNA is filed under the name Hevea brasiliensis (rubber tree). Lineage: Eukaryota; Viridiplantae; Streptophyta; Magnoliopsida; Malpighiales; Euphorbiaceae. The record is from RNAcentral.